AUGACUUUGAUCAGCGUCUUCAUCUGCACACUGGCCCUCUGGACUCAAGGAUCCAGAGGUCAGGUGACUGUGACUCAGACUCCUUCAGUGCAAACUGUUGCUCCAGGAAACACCGUCACCAUCAACUGUAGAACCAGCAGGAGUGUAUAUUAUGGUAACUACCUUGCCUGGUACCUGCAGAAAUCUGGAGAAGCUCCUAAACUCCUGAUCUAUGAUGCUUCUAGCUUAUACACAGGGACUCCAGCUCGUUUCAGUGGGAGUGGAUCUGGUACUGACUUUACUCUGACAAUCAGAGGAGUCCAGACUGAAGAUGCAGGAGAUUACUACUGUCACAGUUGCCAUAGUGGUCCUAUGUACACACAGUGUUAG
Molecule: non-coding RNA, 369 nt
Organism: Clarias gariepinus (North African catfish)
Lineage: Eukaryota; Metazoa; Chordata; Actinopteri; Siluriformes; Clariidae
Source: the annotation of a RefSeq genome assembly